Long non-coding RNA from Herpailurus yagouaroundi (jaguarundi), 2263 nucleotides. RefSeq lists it as uncharacterized. The record is from RefSeq and is a predicted model, not a curated record. Lineage: Eukaryota; Metazoa; Chordata; Mammalia; Carnivora; Felidae. The transcript is spliced from 3 exons.
AGUCCUUAAAUGUUAACAAGAUUCCAUUUCGUGUUCACAUUUCCAGCACAUUUCUGAACUCUUUGCCUUUCCACUUAAAGAAAGAAAACUGGCCCUGAAAUAAGAAUGUCUCAGCAUUUGGUCAUAUCCUCACAGUCUGGCUCCUGAAAGGGCAGAUUUCUGAAUUUGGGCAGAAAUGCCUGGUCACGAAGUCUCGGAGGCCAGUGAUCCCUUAGUAACCUUGCUCCCCCUACAGCCCUGGGCCUGGCCGGUGCUGUGCACCUAGUGGGAGCUAGUGCUGGGUUUCAUGUAAGGGUGAACCCGUGCAAGGGUGGGGAUGCAAGGAGUUGAGCUAACGCAGCAGGACUGGAGUGCAGCCCCCACGCUCUGAGUGGCUGUCCUUGGCUCUCCCUGCAGUGCUCCACCCGCCAGCUGCCUGGGCUUCCUCUGGGACCCUCUUCUCUCUCUUGCUUGGGAUACUUGACUGUGUUCCAGUGACUCCGUGGAACCCCACUUGGUGGGGCCUCCAGCCUUCUCCUUAGUCUUGCCAAUUCACUGCUUAACAUACAGCAACAGUUGACCGGGGGGGGGGGGGGCGGUGCUGGGAGGAAGGGGGGCUGCUCACAUGUGCCAAGCGCCUCGCUCAUCUGUCCUCACAGCAGCAGCCCCGGGAGAUCAGGAUUGCUGUCAUUGCCAUUUCAUAGUGGAGGAGACUAAAGGAGGCAGCCUUUCUCCCUACUCCUGCUGCCCUAGAGAAAUGGAAGAGUGGGCAGAGGCGGAGUGAUAACCUAAGGGAAACGAACGACCUAAGCAGACACAGACGAGAGACACUGGCUGACUCCAGAAGAGAGAGAGGCAACACAAGGCUGAAAGGCCAAGCCAACAAAGGGAGAGGAACCAGAAUCUUCUGCCGGUGCUCAUGGAGUUUAUGAAUACAAGGCAUUAAAGUGCUGGCAAGAAGGAGGCCACAGCCGGCAGGCAGAGCCAUGGCGGCAGAAGAGGACCUGAGCAUCUGAAGAUUCUCACCGCAGCCCUGGUGUCCCUGGAAGAGGAGCUCCCUUCUGGAGAGGGAGGGCUGGGGACAGGGCUGCUCUCCCCCCUGUGAGGGUUGACAUCGGCUGCCAGGCCCCGGGCUGAGGGUUGGGGCAGAUGGUGUUUCCUCCACGGUGUGUGUGGGCCUGGGCCCCACUGCUCAGGGAGGCAGUGGAAUCCGUCCCUCUCUGAGCAGACAGGUGGGGCAUUCACCAGAUUCCACCCUAAAGGCCAGAGCUCAGGGGAGGUGCGCGCACUGGGAAUGUAUUACUUGCAAAGGGAUGUGCUGUGGGUGGGGGACUUUACGCAGAGGGGGCUGCCUCUUGGAGGAGGCCGGGUGUCUUUAGAUGUUCGCUCUCUGGCGGAAGACCGAGGCGGUUUUCCAGUAGAAGGCCCUUCCUUCCCGACACCCCCACUCCUGCCAGUGCGCGUUUUUGAAGGGGCACGGGGAAUGCAAGUGGUGCCUGAUCAUUUCAGGUGUCUGAAAGGCUGUUGGCCGCUGAGGAGCAACACAAACCCCACCUGUGGGGGGCCUCAGGGUCAGCCCCAUACUGAUAGAAGCAGGUGGUGCUUCUCGAUGGGCGCGGGCGCGGUGGCAGAGAAACCCAAGAAGUUGCAGCCGCGCCCCUCCUUGUCUGGAGUGAUGGGGGAGGGAGGAGAGGCGCAUCCUGGCUCUGCUCCCCAGCUGUCUGAGGCAGAUCGACUGGAGUCCAUCUGGCUGUCCCCCUCACCCCCCACCCCCGACCCAGGCUUGCCUCCCACCCUGGGACGUCAAUGCCAUUGGGUCCUGGCUGAGACCUUAGCGGCCUAGAUGAGGGGCAGCUAAGUCCAUGCGCACCUGGGGCUGAGCUGCGUCCUGGGGUGCCGGGGCCCAAGAGCACCAGGUGGACGUCCGUGGGGCUGCACUGUCUUUUCCUAGGCCCCGUGUGAUGGUGGCCACGUGCUGUUCUGGAAGUGCCAUCAAGGGCUCCCCCACCUUCUCCACACCUUGCUCUCUUGCCAGGUCCCAUCCAUUCCUCGUCACCAUCCGUGUACCAUGUUACUGCUACUUUGGAAAGGUACUAUUGAUUAUAUAGAAGCUUGAGAGAAAUCUUUGCCUAUUUUAUAUUUUGCUUGUAUUUUCUAAGCCUUCAGCCCUAGAGUCUAAGUCUUGGGGCCGAGCAUCCUUAAAAACUCUAGAACCAUGAGCCCCAGGGGCCCACAAAUCCUUAGGCCUGGGCCCUGUGGAGCUGCUCUGUCUCUGGUUGAAGGC